GGGGUAACCUGGUGAGUAAAGUGGCGUACGGGUGAGUAACACGUGGGUAAUCUACCUUCUGGUGGGGGAUACCCUGGGAAACCGGGGCUAUACCGCAUAACCCCGCAAGGGAAAAGCAGCAAUGCGCUGGAAGAGGAGCCCGCGGCCGAUUAGCUAGUUGGUAGGGUAAUGGCCUACCAAGGCUGCGAUCGGUAGCCGGCCUGAGAGGGCACACGGCCACACUGGCACUGAAACACGGGCCAGACUCCUACGGGAGGCAGCAGUGGGGAAUCUUGCACAAUGGGGGAAACCCUGAUGCAGCGACGCCGCGUGAGCGAUGAAGCCCUUCGGGGUGUAAAGCUCUUUCGGCAGGAACGAUAAUGACGGUACCUGCAGAAGAAGCUGCGGCUAACUACGUGCCAGCAGCCGCGGUAAGACGGAGGAGGCAAGCGUUGUUCGGAUUUAUUGGGCGUAAAGGGCGCGUAGGCGGAUCGGCGGGUCCGGCGUGAAAUCUCCACCGCUCACCGGGGAGAGGCCGCUGGAAACUACCGAUCUGGAGUUCGGCAGAGGGUCAUGGAAUUCCAGGUGUAGCGGUGGAAUGCGUAGAUAUCUGGAAGAACACCUGUGGCGAAGGCGGUGGCCUGGGCCGAAACUGACGCUGAGGCGCGAAAGCUAGGGGAGCAAACGGGAUUAGAUACCCCGGUAGUCCUAGCCGUAAACGUUGGAUACUAGGUGUGGGAGGUAUCGACCCCUUCCGUGCCGAAGUUAACACAUUAAGUAUCCCGCCUGGGGAGUACGGCCGCAAGGUUGAAACUCAAAGGAAUUGACGGGGGCCCGCACAAGCGGUGGAGCAUGUGGUUCAAUUCGACGCAACGCGAAGAACCUUACCCAGGCUCGAAAUGCAGGGGAU
This 889-nucleotide ribosomal RNA is filed under the name uncultured bacterium. RNAcentral describes it as "bacterial SSU rRNA". It matches the Rfam family "Bacterial small subunit ribosomal RNA", at positions 76 to 996 of the family's 1533-position model. The record is from RNAcentral.